CAAGAAGUAUGCUGAAUUGCUGGAUGAACAUCGUACUGAGCAAAAGAAGUUAAAGCUCCUCCAAAAGAAACAGGUACAAAUUCAAAAAGAAAAGGACCAGUUACAAGGUGAACACAGCAGAGCUAUCCUCGCUCGAAGCAAAUUGGAGAGUCUGUGCCGGGAGCUGCAGAGACACAACAAGACUCUGAAGGAAGAGGCGCUUCAGCGGGCACGUGAGGAAGAAGAGAAAAGGAAGGAAAUCACAAGCCAUUUCCAGAGUACCCUCACGGACAUCCAGGGCCAGAUCGAGCAGCAGAGUGAGCGAAAUAUGAAGCUCUGUCAGGAGAACACAGAGCUUGCAGAAAAGCUGAAAAGCAUCAUCGAUCAGUAUGAGCUCAGAGAGGAGCAUCUGGACAAAAUAUUUAAACACAGAGAACUGCAGCAGAAGCUGGUGGAUGCAAAGCUUGAGCAGGCCCAAGAAAUGAUGAAGGAAGCGGAGGAGCGACACAAACGAGAAAAGGAAUAUUUGCUGAACCAGGCAGCAGAGUGGAAACUUCAGGCGAAAGUGCUGAAGGAGCAAGAGACAGUCCUGCAGGCUCAGCUCACUCUCUACUCAGGAAGGUUUGAAGAAUUCCAGAGCACACUAACUAAAAGCAACGAGGUGUUUGCCACGUUCAAACAGGAAAUGGACAAAACAACUAAGAAAAUGAAGAAGCUGGAAAAGGACACAGCCACAUGGAAAGCUCGAUUUGAGAACUGUAACAAAGCUCUGUUGGACAUGAUUGAAGAGCCCUCCUGACUGCUCCAAGAAUUUCAUCGAACAAGACUCAAAGAGGCCCAGCUGCUCUGCGUUUUGAUUCUUCUCCCUCUCUCAGUCCACACUGACCUGGGAGGGGCUUCUCAAACACCACAUUUCCUAGCAUGCUGUGAGAAGAGGACUGUGAGCUAAGAAGGGAGAAAAG
RNAcentral lists this small RNA (941 nucleotides) under Pan troglodytes (chimpanzee). RNAcentral's name for it is "processed transcript". Lineage: Eukaryota; Metazoa; Chordata; Mammalia; Primates; Hominidae. The record is from RNAcentral.